CCUACAGGUGGCAGCAGUGAGGAAUAUUGGUCAAUGGGCGCGAGCCUGAACCAGCCAAGUAGCGUGAAGGAUGACUGCCCUACGGGUUGUAAACUUCUUUUAUAAAGGAAUAAAGUGAGGCACGUGUGCCUUUUUGUAUGUACUUUAUGAAUAAGGAUCGGCUAACUCCGUGCCAGCAGCCGCGGUAAUACGGAGGAUCCGAGCGUUAUCCGGAUUUAUUGGGUGUAAAGGGAGCGUAGAUGGGUUGUUAAGUCAGUUGUGAAAGUGUGCGGCUUAACCGUAAAAUUGCAAUUGAUACUGGCAGGCUUGAGUACAGUAGAGGUGGGCAGAAUUCGUGGUGUAGCGGUGAAAUGCUUAGAUAUCACGAAGAACACCGAUUGCGAAGGCAGCCUACUAAAC
RNAcentral lists this ribosomal RNA (399 nucleotides) under uncultured bacterium. RNAcentral describes it as "partial 16S ribosomal RNA". It matches the Rfam family "Bacterial small subunit ribosomal RNA", at positions 338 to 734 of the family's 1533-position model. The record is from RNAcentral.